Molecule: ribosomal RNA, 569 nt
Filed under: uncultured bacterium
Lineage: Bacteria
Description: bacterial SSU rRNA
Rfam family: Bacterial small subunit ribosomal RNA
Source: RNAcentral
AAGAGAUUUCCCCCUUACUCCUACGAGACAGCACUGCAGGGUAAUAUCGCACAAUGCGAAAACGCGUGACACAGCGACCGCGCGGGAGGGAAAGUGUUUUCAGGUUAACCCCUCUUUCAGGAAAGAUAAGCUAAAGUGACGGUAGCACACAAGAAAGCCAGGCCCACGGCUAACUUGCAGCCGGCAUCCGCGUAGAGGCCAAGCGUCUACCGGAUUUAUUGUGUGUAAAGAGUUAUGAGGCGGUAGGGUAAGUCGGUAGCGAUAAGUGGAAGUCUCACCCUCUGACUGGCAAUGGAUGAGGGCAUCAGUUGAGUUCGGGAGAGGAGAAGGGACUUCUAGUUGUAGCGGUGAAAUGGAAAGAUAUAGAGAUGAAGACCAAUACCGAAGGCGACUCUGUCGCUCGAGACCGUCCCUGACGAUGGAAAGCGAUGGGGAGCAGGCACAGAUCAGAUUUCGAUGGUCGUGCUAGCCCUCAACCUAGAUCACGUAGAUGUGGGGGUCUCAGGUUCGUCUCCCGUGUCGCAGCUAACGCAUUAAGGCUCCGCCUGGGGAGUACGGCCGCAAGGUUG